CGCGGGGUGGAGCAGCCUGGUAGCUCGCGAGGCUCAUAACCUCGAGGUCGUGGGUUCAAAUCCCACCCCCGCAACCA
This 77-nucleotide transfer RNA is filed under the name Candidatus Peregrinibacteria bacterium. Its description in RNAcentral is "tRNA-Met". It matches the Rfam family "tRNA". Rfam says of the family: Transfer RNA (tRNA) molecules are approximately 80 nucleotides in length. Their secondary structure includes four short double-helical elements and three loops (D, anti-codon, and T loops). Lineage: Bacteria; Candidatus Peregrinibacteriota. RNAcentral also lists the same sequence under 1 other name. The record is from RNAcentral.